RNAcentral lists this unclassified non-coding RNA (1367 nucleotides) under Hevea brasiliensis (rubber tree). The record is from RNAcentral. Lineage: Eukaryota; Viridiplantae; Streptophyta; Magnoliopsida; Malpighiales; Euphorbiaceae.
UGAUUUAUGACUUCAAUUAGGCUUUUUCAAUAGUUUUGUAGCCAUUAAAGCUUCGAUUUUGACAAUUUUCAUUUCUUGCAUUUGCUCAACUAAUCAUGGCAAAUUCAAUAUUCAUCUCUGGAACUCAAAGUUUGAGUGUUUGUAACAGAGUUUCCCCAAAUGGGUUAGGCUUUGUUGGCUCAGAUUUCAAUGGGAAUCAAUUUUCCAAGCUGGGUUUAUCAAGAACCAGUUAUAAAAUCAAAACCCUAGCUCCAAUUUGCAGUAUUUCAACAUCUAGGCCAGCUUCACAGCCAAGAUUCAUCCAGCACAAACAAGAAGCUUUUUGGUUUUAUAGGUUUUUAUCUAUUGUGUAUGAUCAUGUUAUUAAUCCUGGUCAUUGGACUGAAGAUAUGAGGGAUGAUGCACUUGAACCAGCUGAUCUUAAUGACAGGAAUUUGACUGUGGUGGAUGUUGGUGGUGGCACUGGUUUCACUACAUUGGGUAUAGUUGAGCAUGUAGAUGCCAAGAAUGUUACAAUUCUUGACCAAUCUCCUCAUCAAUUAGCUAAGGCUAAGGAAAAGGAGCCUUUGAAAGAAUGCAAGAUAAUUGAGGGUGAUGCUGAGGAUCUUCCAUUCUCAACUGACUAUGCUGAUAGAUAUGUAUCUGCUGGAAGUAUUGAAUACUGGCCGGACCCACAACGUGGAAUCCGAGAGGCAUACAGAGUUCUGAAACCUGGAGCAAAGGCGUGCUUAAUCGGUCCUGUGCACCCUACCUUUUGGUUGUCUCGUUUCUUUGCUGAUGUGUGGAUGCUCUUCCCUAAGGAGGAAGAAUACAUAGAGUGGUUUGAGAAGGCAGGAUUCACGGACGUCCAACUGAAGAAGAUCGGCCCAAAAUGGUAUCGUGGAGUUCGAAGGCAUGGGCUUAUCAUGGGAUGUUCUGUUACUGGUGUUAAGUCUACACCAGGGGAUUCACCACUGCAGCUUGGCCCAAAAGCAGAAGAUGUGACAAAACCUGUAAAUCCAUUUGUCUUUAUGCUGCGGUUUCUUCUGGGUGCAACGGCAGCAACAUACUAUGUUUUGGUUCCUAUUUACAUGUGGGUUAAAGACCAGGUUGUUCCUGAAGGCGAACCUCUGUGAGAGACCAAGCUACUUAAUCCUACUGGCUGAUCCUUCUACCGUUGCACCUGGUUCUAGUUAGCGCAGUUGUGCAUCUCACUUUUAUGCCUAGAAUUUUCUGUGAAUGACAUCUUAGCUUGGUCUCAACUAAAGUUGAUAUAAUUUUCCAAAUGUAGACUCUACUCCUUUACUAUAGCUCUUUUCGGAUGACUUCAAACUUUUAUUAUCUGAACCUGGUGAGUUUGUAACUCCUUAUAAUGCUCCUACUAUUAA